AAAUGGGAGGUAAAUUUCUUCUAAAGCUAAAUACUGGUCAGAGACCGAUAGCUCACAAGUAGAGUGAUCGAAAGAUGAAAAGCACUUUGGAACGAGAGUUAACAAGUACGUGAAAUUGUUGAAAGGGAAGCGCUUGCAACCAGACUUGUCCGCAGUUGCUCAGCCGGUCUCCUGACCGGCGUACUCUUCUGCGGCCAGGCCAGCAUCAGUUCGGGCGGUCGGAUAAAGGCCUCGGGAAUGUAGCUCCUCUCGGGGAGUGUUAUAGCCCGGGGUGGAAUGCGACCAGCCUGGACUGAGGAUCUCACUUCGGCAAGGAUGCUAGCGU
RNAcentral lists this ribosomal RNA (325 nucleotides) under Lasiodiplodia lignicola. Its description in RNAcentral is "partial large subunit ribosomal RNA". It matches the Rfam family "Eukaryotic large subunit ribosomal RNA", at positions 289 to 632 of the family's 3401-position model. Lineage: Eukaryota; Fungi; Ascomycota; Dothideomycetes; Botryosphaeriales; Botryosphaeriaceae. The record is from RNAcentral.